UGGAAGACUAGUGAUUUUGUUGUUUUUAGAUAACAACAUUGACAACAAAUCACAGUCUGCCAUA
This 64-nucleotide microRNA precursor is filed under the name Xenopus laevis (African clawed frog). RNAcentral describes it as "Xla-Mir-7-P2e_pre stem-loop". It matches the Rfam family "mir-7 microRNA precursor family", at positions 16 to 77 of the family's 91-position model. Rfam says of the family: This family represents the microRNA (miRNA) precursor mir-7. In this case the mature sequence comes from the 5' arm of the precursor. The extents of the hairpin precursors are not generally known and are estimated based on hairpin prediction. Lineage: Eukaryota; Metazoa; Chordata; Amphibia; Anura; Pipidae. The record is from RNAcentral.